RNAcentral lists this ribosomal RNA (497 nucleotides) under uncultured bacterium. RNAcentral describes it as "partial 16S ribosomal RNA". It matches the Rfam family "Bacterial small subunit ribosomal RNA", at positions 28 to 507 of the family's 1533-position model. The record is from RNAcentral.
GAUGAACGCUGGCGGCGUGCCUAAUACAUGCGAGUCGAGCGAACGGACGAGAAGCUUGCUCUUCUGAUGUUAGCGGCGGACGGGGGAGUAACACGUGGAUAACCUACCUAUAAGACUGGGAUAACUUCGGGAAACCGGAGCUAAUACCGGAUAAUAUUUUGAACCGCAUGGUUCAAAAGUGAAAGACGGUCUUGCUGUCACUUAUAGAUGGAUCCGCGCCUCAUUAGCUAGUUGGUAAGGUAACGGCUUACCAAGGCAACGAUGCGUAGCCGACCUGAGAGGGUGCUCGGCCACCCUGGAACUGAGACACGGUCCAGACUCCUACGGGAGGCAGCAGUAGGGAAUCUUCCGCAAUGGGCGAAAGCCUGACGGAGCAACGCCGCGUGAGUGAUGAAGGUCUUCGGAUCGUAAAACUCUGUUAUUAGGGAAGACCAUAUGUGUAAGUAACUCUGCACGUCUUGACGGUACCUAAUCAGAAAGCCACGGCUAACUACGUG